Molecule: ribosomal RNA, 205 nt
Filed under: uncultured bacterium
Lineage: Bacteria
Description: partial 16S ribosomal RNA
Rfam family: Bacterial small subunit ribosomal RNA
Source: RNAcentral
CGCGUAGGCGGCUUGUACAGUCAGACGUGAAAUUCCUGGGCUCAACCUGGGGGCUGCGUUUGAUACGUGCGGGCUUGAGUUCGGAAGAGGGUCGUGGAAUUCCCAGUGUAGAGGUGAAAUUCGUAGAUAUUGGGAAGAACACCGGUGGCGAAGGCGGCGACCUGGUCCGAUACUGACGCUGAGGCGCGAAAGCGUGGGGAGAAAC